This 468-nucleotide ribosomal RNA is filed under the name uncultured bacterium. RNAcentral describes it as "partial 16S ribosomal RNA". It matches the Rfam family "Bacterial small subunit ribosomal RNA", at positions 28 to 507 of the family's 1533-position model. The record is from RNAcentral.
GACGAACGCUGGCGGCGUGCUUAACACAUGCAAGUCGAACGGAAAGGCCCUGCUUUUGUGGGGUGCUCGAGUGGCGAACGGGUGAGUAACACGUGAGUAACCUGCCCUUGACUUUGGGAUAACUUCAGGAAACUGGGGCUAAUACCGGAUAGGAGCUCCUGCUGCAUGGUGGGGGUUGGAAAGUUUCGGCGGUUGGGGAUGGACUCGCGGCUUAUCAGCUUGUUGGUGGGGUAGUGGCUUACCAAGGCUUUGACGGGUAGCCGGCCUGAGAGGGUGACCGGCCACAUUGGGACUGAGAUACGGCCCAGACUCCUACGGGAGGCAGCAGUGGGGAAUAUUGCCCAAUGGGCGGACGCCUGAUGCAGCAACGCCGCGUGCGGGAUGACGGCCUUCGGGUUGUAAACCGCUUUCGCCUGUGACGAAGCGUGAGUGACGGUAAUGGGUAAAGAAGCACCGGCUAACUACGUG